Long non-coding RNA from Eptesicus fuscus (big brown bat), 261 nucleotides. RefSeq lists it as uncharacterized. The record is from RefSeq and is a predicted model, not a curated record. NCBI's taxonomy places the organism in Eukaryota, Metazoa, Chordata, Mammalia, Chiroptera, Vespertilionidae. The transcript is spliced from 3 exons.
GCCGUGACCUCCUUGUUAACAGGUCGAUGCUCAACCACUGAGCCGCACCGGCCGGGCCUAGGAUAUAAAAUCCCUGUCAUCGAGAAUCUGGGUGCGACCUUAGACCAGUUCGAUGCCACUGAUUUUUCUGACAAUGAAAUCCGGAAACUGGACGGCUUCCCUCGCUGAGGAGACUGAAGACCCUCCUGGUGAACAACAACCGGAUAUGGUCGAUGCUCAACCACUGAGCCUCACUGGCCGGGCUGGGGUUCCUCCAUUUCU